Molecule: ribosomal RNA, 175 nt
Filed under: Microthielavia ovispora
Lineage: Eukaryota; Fungi; Ascomycota; Sordariomycetes; Sordariales; Chaetomiaceae
Description: 5.8S ribosomal RNA
Rfam family: 5.8S ribosomal RNA (bases 1-155)
About the family: 5.8S ribosomal RNA (5.8S rRNA) is a component of the large subunit of the eukaryotic ribosome. It is transcribed by RNA polymerase I as part of the 45S precursor that also contains 18S and 28S rRNA.
Source: RNAcentral
AACUUUCAAUAAUGGAUCUCUUAGUUCUAGCAUCGAUGAAGAAUAUAGCGAAAUGCGAUAAGUAAUAUAAAUUGUAGAAUUCUAUAAAUCAUUGAAUCUUUGAAUGUACAUUGCGUCUACCGGCAUUCCGAGCGAGUAUACCUGUCUAAGCGUCAUUUCGACCAUUAAGCCCUAG